This 1031-nucleotide long non-coding RNA is filed under the name Pan troglodytes (chimpanzee). RNAcentral describes it as "long non-coding RNA NONPTRT001799". The record is from RNAcentral. Lineage: Eukaryota; Metazoa; Chordata; Mammalia; Primates; Hominidae.
UUUAGCUUCCUCAGCAGAAAGAAAAGAAGCUGUUUUGGAGGUUGGGAAGAGCUUUAGAAAAUGCGGCAUCAAGUCUGUUGCCCCUUUAAAGAAAGCAGCUCUGGAAAAGGCCUAGGACAUUAGUUGCUACAAAGUUCUAGAUCAUUCUGUGUGGUAAAGAAGUGCCUUUCACCUCCCACUGUGACUCUGAGGCCUCCCCAGCCAUGUGGAACUAUAAGGUCUGUGUUGGUAAAUUAGACACCGUGUGGCCUUUCAACAUCCAGGAGCAAGAUGGCAGGAGGAUCAUGCCAACAACUGAGGAGUGAUAUCCACCCAGGUUUGCUCAGUAAGACUAUGAGACCUAUCUUCCUGGCUGUGGUGUUGGUUCAGAAGCAACAUGCCAACCAACCUGAUCCAAUGAGAGUGAGUUCUAGGACUUUUGCUGGAACUACUGUAUGUCUAUAUAUAAAAGAGAAUCUAUCUUUCUAUUGAAAGCCAAGGGUAAGAAGCCAAUAUGAUAUGCAUUUGAUUCUGUUAUGGAAAUCCACAUAAAAGAAGGCUGCCCAAGUAUAAAACCAACACAGAAGAAAGCAGAGGUAAGAGAUGGAAAAAGAAAUGGAGUGAACCAGUGACAGCAAGAGACUGAAGAACAUCAUUUGAUUGCCUGGAAUCAGCUAAGCCUGAAGAGAAGCCUAACCCUAAGCUUUUCAGUUACCCAAGCCAUCAAAUUCCCAUCCCCAUUUUUUUGGUUCUUAAGCAGCUUGAACCAUAGUUGUCUCACUUGCAUGCAAGAGAUCCCUGAAGAUACAUGCACUUCCUCAGGUGAAGAUUGCCAUCAGUUAACAGAUCCUGGCACCCAUGGACCCUGGGACAGUCAUUCUGGUAGCAUCCUCUGGUAGAGAAUAACAUAGUCAAAUCUGACAGUCAGAGAGGAUCUGCCAGCCUCUGCUUAGAUAUAGCCCACUGAAAGGGAGAGAUGAUUAAUUUAGCCUUGAUUUCAAAACCUUGUCUUGUAUAUUCCAUUCAGCACUUUUUAUCUUCCUGUAUUCCCC